UAAAGCGUUCGUAGCCGGUUUGAUAAGUCUUUGGUGAAAGCUUGUAGCUUAACUAUAAGAAUUGCUGAAGAUACUGUCAGACUUGAAGUCGGGAGAGGUUAGAGGUACUACCGGGGUAGGGGUGAAAUCCUAUAAUCCUGGGAGGACCACCUGUGGCGAAGGCGUCUAACUGGAACGAUCUUGACGGUGAGUAACGAAAGCCAGGGGCGCGAACCGGAUUAGAUACCCUGGUAGUCCACGCCGUAAACGAUGGAUACUAGGUGUGGGAGGUAUUGACCCCUUCCGUGCCGCAGUUAACACAUUAAGUAUCCCACCUGGGGAGUACGACCGCAAGGUUGAAACUCAAAGGAAUUGACGGGGGCCCGCACAAGCAGUGGAGUAUGUGGUUUAAUUCGAAGCAACGCGAAGAACCUUACCUGGUCUUGACAUCCCGAUGACCGCUCUAGAGAUAGAGUUUUCCCUUCGGGGACAUCGGUGACAGGUGGUGCGUGGUUGUCGUCAGCUCGUGUCGUGAGAUGUUGGGUUAAGUCCCGCAACGAGCGCAACCCUUAUUGUUAGUUGAUACAUUUAGUUGAUCACUCUAGCGAGACUGCCGUUGACAAAACGGAGGAAGGUGGGGACGACGUCAAAUCAUCAUGCCCCUUAUGGCCAGGGCUACACACGUACUACAAUGGCAGUCAUACAGAGGGAAGCAAAGCCGUGAGGUCGAGCAAAUCCCUAAGAGCUGUCCCAGUUCAGAUUGCAGGCUGCAACUCGCCUGCAUGAAGUCGGAAUUGCUAGUAAUCGCGGAUCAGCAUGCCGCGG
This 804-nucleotide ribosomal RNA is filed under the name uncultured Bacillota bacterium. Its description in RNAcentral is "bacterial SSU rRNA". It matches the Rfam family "Bacterial small subunit ribosomal RNA", at positions 561 to 1362 of the family's 1533-position model. The record is from RNAcentral. Lineage: Bacteria; Bacillati; Bacillota.